UACGGGGGGGGCAAGCGUUGUUCGGAAUCACUGGGCGUAAAGGGCGCGUAGGCGGUCUGCUAAGCGUGCGGUGAAAGCCUGGGGCUCAACCCCAGGUCUGCCGUGCGAACUGGUGGACUGGAGCACUGUAGAGGCAGGUGGAAUUCCGGGUGUAGCGGUGGAAUGCGUAGAGAUCCGGAAGAACACCAGUGGCGAAGGCGGCCUGCUGGGCAGUUGCUGACGCUGAUGCGCGACAGCGUGGGGAGCAAACAGG
This 253-nucleotide ribosomal RNA is filed under the name uncultured bacterium. RNAcentral's name for it is "partial 16S ribosomal RNA". It matches the Rfam family "Bacterial small subunit ribosomal RNA", at positions 524 to 776 of the family's 1533-position model. The record is from RNAcentral.